UUUCAGUUUUAGCAACUCUACUUUUUGUUGUAGUUAUUAUCUAUUUGCGGGUACAGCUUUCGCUUCAUAUACAUGAAAAAUUUCUAUAUAUACGGCGGGUCUGUUGGCGAGCCCGGAGAAUGUGGUAAUUUGGGGCGUGAUAUAAUUGCAGGGAUGUACAUAUCUGAAUACAUUAGGACUUUUACAGGUAUUACUUAUGAAAGUUGAUCUUUGCAGGAAUAUAUCUAUAAUUCACCAUGUUUGCGGGGACCUGAAUGAAAUUAACUCUAUUAAAAAUAUAUAAACCAUAAUUUACCUCAUAUAAAACCAACAAAAUU
RNAcentral lists this long non-coding RNA (317 nucleotides) under Ananas comosus (pineapple). RNAcentral's name for it is "long non-coding RNA (ACOM_LNC036219)". Lineage: Eukaryota; Viridiplantae; Streptophyta; Magnoliopsida; Poales; Bromeliaceae. The record is from RNAcentral.